GUGCUUGCUUCAGCAGUAUAUAUCCUAAAAUUGGAACUAUGCAGAGAAGAUAGCAUGUCCCCUGCUCAAGGAUGACACACAAAAAACAAAGAAUAGUCAAGUUGCC
Small nuclear RNA from Phyllostomus discolor (pale spear-nosed bat), 106 nucleotides. NCBI's taxonomy places the organism in Eukaryota, Metazoa, Chordata, Mammalia, Chiroptera, Phyllostomidae. The record is from RefSeq and is a predicted model, not a curated record.